RNAcentral lists this ribosomal RNA (451 nucleotides) under uncultured bacterium. Its description in RNAcentral is "partial 16S ribosomal RNA". It matches the Rfam family "Bacterial small subunit ribosomal RNA", at positions 28 to 507 of the family's 1533-position model. The record is from RNAcentral.
GAUGAACGCUGGCGGCGUGCCUAACACAUGCAAGUCGAGCGGCAGCGAGGGGUGCUUGCACCCUGUCGGCGAGCGGCGGACGGCUGAGUAACGCGUGGGAACGUGCCCCAAAGUGAGGAAUAACUGCCCGAAAGGGUAGCUAAUACCGCAUAUUAUCUUCGGAUCUAAGGAUUUAUCCGCUUUGGGAGCGGCUCGCGUCGGAUUAGGUAGUUGGUGAGGUAAUGGCUCACCAAGCCGACGAUCCGUAGCUGGUCUGAGAGGAUGACCAGCCAGACUGGAACUGAGACACGGUCCAGACUCCUACGGGAGGCAGCAGUGAGGAAUCUUCCACAAUGGGCGAAAGCCUGAUGGAGCAACGCCGCGUGCAGGACGAAGGCCUUCGGGUUGUAAACUGCUUUUAUAAGUGAGGAAUAUGACGGUAACUUAUGAAUAAGGAUCGGCUAACUACGUG